Molecule: ribosomal RNA, 494 nt
Filed under: uncultured bacterium
Lineage: Bacteria
Description: partial 16S ribosomal RNA
Rfam family: Bacterial small subunit ribosomal RNA
Source: RNAcentral
GACGAACGCUGGCGGCGUGCUUAACACAUGCAAGUCGAACGGUGAAGCGCCUUCCUUUUUGGUGGGUGUGGAUGAGUGGCGAACGGGUGAGUAACACGUGAGUAACCUGCCCCCUUCUUCUGGAUAACCGCAUGAAAGUGUGGCUAGUACGGGAUAUUCUGGGUCUGUCGCAUGAUGGGUCUGGGAAAGAUAUUGUUUCGGUGGGGGAUGGGCUCGCGGCCUAUCAGCUUGUUGGUGGGGUGAUGGCCUACCAAGGCGGUGACGGGUAGCCGGCCUGAGAGGGUGGACGGUCACACUGGGACUGAGACACGGCCCAGACUCCUACGGGAGGCAGCAGUGGGGAAUAGUGCACAAUGGGCGCAAGCCUGAUGCAGCGACGCCGCGUGAGGGAUGGAGGCCUUCGGGUUGUGAACCUCUUUCGCCAGUGAAGCAGGCCUGCCUCGUUUGUGGGUGGGUUGACGGUAGCUGGAUAAGAAGCGCCGGCUAACUACGUG